CCUACGGGAGGCAGCAGUGAGGAAUAUUUGUCAAUGGACGAGAGUCUGAACCAGCCAAGUAGCGUGAAGGAUGACUGCCCUAUGGGUUGUCACCUUCUUUUAUAUUGGAAUAAAAUGUUCCACGUGUGGGAUUUUGUAUGUACCCUAUGACUAAGGAUCGGCUAACUCCGUGCCAGCAGCCGCGGUAAUACGGAGGAUCCGAGCGUUAUCCGGAUUUAUUGGGUUUAAAGGUCGCGUAGGUGGAUUGUUAAGUCAGUUGUGAAAGUUUGCGGCUCGACCGUAAAAUUGCAGUUGAAACUGGCAGGCUUGAGUACAGUAGAGGUGGGCGGAAUUCGUGGUGUAGCGGUGAAAUGCUUAGAUAUCACGAAGAACUCCGAUUGCGAAGGCAGCUCACUGGACUGCAACUGACACUGAGGCUCGAAAGUGUGGGUAGCAAACAGGAUUAGAUACCCGAGUAGUC
Molecule: ribosomal RNA, 460 nt
Filed under: uncultured bacterium
Lineage: Bacteria
Description: partial 16S ribosomal RNA
Rfam family: Bacterial small subunit ribosomal RNA
Source: RNAcentral